This is a long non-coding RNA of Sapajus apella (tufted capuchin), 225 nucleotides long. RefSeq lists it as uncharacterized. Lineage: Eukaryota; Metazoa; Chordata; Mammalia; Primates; Cebidae. The record is from RefSeq and is a predicted model, not a curated record. The transcript is spliced from 3 exons.
UAGACAUAGAAAUGUGUGUAGACAGUAGAAUUAUGGUUACUAGCGUUGGGAAGAGUAGGGGAAAAGGGAGCUGAAAAGAGAUUGGUUUAUGGGUACAACAAUACAGUUAAAUAGAAGGAGUAAGUUCUGGUGGUGUUCAAUAGCACAGUAGGAGGACUACUUAAAAAUAAUUUAUUGUAUAUUUCCAAAUAGCCAGAAGAAAAGAUUUGGAAUGUUCCCCAAAGA